AACGAACGCUGGCGGCGCGCCUAAUACAUGCAAGUCGAGCGAGAAGACGUAGCAAUACGUUUGUAAAGCGGCGAACGGGUGAGGAAUACAUGGGUAACCUACCCUCGAGUGGGGAAUAACUAGCCGAAAGGUUAGCUAAUACCGCGUACGCUCCUCGGACUUCGGUUCAGGGAGGAAAGCGAUACCGUGGGUAUCGCGCUCUUGGAUGGGCUCAUGUCCUAUCAGCUUGUUGGUGAGGUAACGGCUCACCAAGGCUUCGACGGGUAGCUGGUCUGAGAGGACGAUCAGCCACACUGGCACUGCGACACGGGCCAGACUCCUACGGGAGGCAGCAGUAAGGAAUAUUGCGCAAUGGGCGAAAGCCUGACGCAGCGACGCCGCGUGAGGGAUGAC
This 393-nucleotide ribosomal RNA is filed under the name uncultured bacterium. RNAcentral describes it as "bacterial SSU rRNA". It matches the Rfam family "Bacterial small subunit ribosomal RNA", at positions 29 to 412 of the family's 1533-position model. The record is from RNAcentral.